This 469-nucleotide ribosomal RNA is filed under the name uncultured bacterium. Its description in RNAcentral is "partial 16S ribosomal RNA". It matches the Rfam family "Bacterial small subunit ribosomal RNA", at positions 28 to 507 of the family's 1533-position model. The record is from RNAcentral.
GACGAACGCUGGCGGCGUGCUUAACACAUGCAAGUCGAACGGAAAGGCCCUGCUUGCAGGGUGCUCGAGUGGCGAACGGGUGAGUAACACGUGGGUGACCUGCCCCUUACUUUGGGAUAAGCCUGGGAAACUGGGUCUAAUACUGGAUAGGACCAUGCUGUAGGUGGUGUGGUGGAAAGAUUAGUUUCGGUAAGGGAUGAGCUCGCGGCCUAUCAGCUUGUUGGUGGGGUAAUGGCCUACCAAGGCGUCGACGGGUAGCCGGCCUGAGAGGGUGGACGGCCACAUUGGGACUGAGAGACGGCCCAGACUCCUACGGGAGGCAGCAGUGGGGAAUAUUGCACAAUGGGCGCAAGCCUGAUGCAGCGACGCCGCGUGGGGGAUGACGGCCUUCGGGUUGUAAACUCCUUUCAGCCAUGACGAAGCCCUUGUGGUGACGGUAGUGGUAGAAGAAGCACCGGCUAACUACGUG